RNAcentral lists this ribosomal RNA (433 nucleotides) under uncultured bacterium. Its description in RNAcentral is "partial 16S ribosomal RNA". It matches the Rfam family "Bacterial small subunit ribosomal RNA", at positions 29 to 507 of the family's 1533-position model. The record is from RNAcentral.
AACGAACGCUGGCGGCAUGCCUAACGCAUGCAAGUCGAACGAGAACUCCGGGUCUAGUGGCGCCCGGGAGCGUAACGCGUGGGAACCUGCCCUUAGGUUCGGAAUAACUCCCCGCAAGGGGUGCUAAUACCGGAUACUGUCUUCCGACCAAAGAUUUAUCGCCUUAGGAUGGGCCGGCGUUAGUUUAGAUAGUUGGUAGGGUACAAGCCUACCAAGGCGACGCGCCAUACCUGGUCGGAGAGGAUGCACUGCCACGACGGGAAUGAGACACGGCCCAGACUCCUACGGGAGGCUGCAGUGGGGAAUAUUGGACAAUGGGCGAAAGCCUGAUCCAGCCAUUCCGCUUGUGUGAUGAAGGCCGUAGGGUUGUAAUGCUCGUUUACCCGGGAAUAUAAUGACAGUACCGGGAGAAUAAGCGCCGGCUAACUCCGUG